Molecule: ribosomal RNA, 417 nt
Filed under: Lygus rugulipennis
Lineage: Eukaryota; Metazoa; Arthropoda; Insecta; Hemiptera; Miridae
Description: partial 16S ribosomal RNA
Rfam family: Bacterial large subunit ribosomal RNA (bases 291-417)
Source: RNAcentral
GUCUUUUAAUUGAAGGCUGGUAUGAAUGGUUGGAUGAAAAAUAUACUUUCUUUAUUUUAUAGAAAUAAAUUAACUUUUUAGUCAAAAGGCUAAGAUUUUAUUGUAGGACGAGAAGACCCUAUAGAACUUUAUUUUCUUUUUAUAUAACUUUUUUAGUUUUUAAUAAGUUUAUAUACCUAUGUUAAUUAUGUUGGGGUGACAGAAAAAAUAAUAUAACUUUUUCUAUUUUUUUCAUUUAUGUAUGUGUUUUUGAUCCUAUAUUAUGGAUAAUAAGAUUAAGUUACCUUAGGGAUAACAGCGUUAUUUUCUUAAAGAGUUCUUAUCGAUAAGAAAGUUUGCGACCUCGAUGUUGGAUUAAAAUAAGUGAUAGGAGCAGAAUAUUAUUUACUAGGUCUGUUCGACCUUUAAAUUUUUACA